Small nuclear RNA from Callithrix jacchus (white-tufted-ear marmoset), 107 nucleotides. The record is from Ensembl. NCBI's taxonomy places the organism in Eukaryota, Metazoa, Chordata, Mammalia, Primates, Cebidae.
GUGCUCGAUUCAGCAACAUGUAUACUAAAAUUGGAACGAUAUAGAGAAGAUUAGCAUGGCCCCUGUGCAAGGAUAACAUGCAAAUUUGUGAAGCCUUCCAUAUUAAA